GAGCCUGGCAGGCAGCGAGCGCAUGCGCGUCCCGCUCCCGCGCGGUCCGCGGAGCCCCGGGGGCUGGAGCCUGGAGCCACGUAGUGUUUCAUUUUGAGGCAAAGAGUUAGCCUGGGAACUAGAAGGAAUGACAUUCCAGAAGCCAGAGGAAAAUUUGUAAGGCAACAUCAGGACAAGGACUAUAUGCCAUAAGCAUUAAACAAGUGUGGUGACAAAAAGGAGCUGUCAGGAUUCAUCCCCUAAAGUGGAUGAAGGGUUGCCCAUUGGAAGAGGGAAUGUUUACGGUGAGACGGCGCAUCAUCAUCAUGACAUGAAACAGAGCAGUGGAUCCCAACUACCAUAGUGCAUAUAAGACCGAGUAUGUGACAUUCUACCAGUCAUUGAAGAUCAACUGUUAGUACCUGAACACUUUGGUUCUGACUGUGAUUAAAAACAAAACUCACCAUGAUGAAGACAUUGAGAAAACAUUAAGGUGGGGCACGUGGGUGGCUCAGUCGGUUGAGCAUCUGCCUUCAGCUCAAGUCAUGAUCUCAGGGUCCUGGGAUCCAGCCCCACAUCCAGCUCCCUGCUCAGCAAAGUCUGCUUCUCCCUCUGCCU
Long non-coding RNA from Canis lupus familiaris (dog), 597 nucleotides. RefSeq lists it as uncharacterized. The record is from RefSeq and is a predicted model, not a curated record. Lineage: Eukaryota; Metazoa; Chordata; Mammalia; Carnivora; Canidae. The transcript has 3 exons.